Molecule: ribosomal RNA, 467 nt
Filed under: uncultured bacterium
Lineage: Bacteria
Description: partial 16S ribosomal RNA
Rfam family: Bacterial small subunit ribosomal RNA
Source: RNAcentral
GACGAACGCUGGCGGCGUGCUUAACACAUGCAAGUCCGGGGGCGGGGUAACCCGUCCCCGGCGAACGGGUGCGGAACACGUGAGCGACCUGCCCUGGUGUGGGGGAUAGCCGGCCCAACGGCCGGGUAAUACCGCAUACGGCGCCCGCUUGGAAGCGGGAGGCGAAACUCGCACGAUGCGCUAGGAGGGGCUCGCGGCCUAUCAGCGAGUUGGUGCGGUAACGGGGCACCAAGGCGAUGACGGGUAGCUGGCCGGAGAGGCUGGCCUGCCACAUUGGGACGGAGAGGCGGCCCAGGGGACUACGGGGGGGGGAAGUGGGGACUAUGGGGGAAUGGGCGACAGCCUGACGCCGCGUCGGCGCGGGGAGGAUGAGGACCUUAGAGGUGUAAACUCAUGUUGCACGGGACGAGUGCCCCGCAUCGGAGGGGUUGACGGUACCGGGUGAGGAAGCACCGGCUAACUCGGUG